UAAAACAUUACAAUUCUGAAAACGAUUACAGUGCAUUAGUAUUUUAACAGUGUCUUCUAAAUUUCAUUUUCAAAGAUAGACAUAUCAAGCCAGCAAUUAGCUUCAUGAGUAGCUAUCUUAGCUCAGAGAAAAUAAGUGGCAAUGCAUUGUGCAUUAGUGACAUCAGUGGGUCAAGGAUUAAGGAUUAACACAUAUAUGUAUACAUCACAUUCACAAGCCGAACUUCUUACACAUCUGCAUAUAACAAAGAUAAGUGGCCUUGUUCUUCAGUUUUAGAGGCCAGAGUUAGCACCAGAGCCAUGUUUUAGGGAUAGGACCUUAUCUCCAGGAUCCAUCACCCAUUUUUUCUCUCACAUUUCCACCAUUGAUACAUUCUUUCAACAUCGUCCUCUCCAAUGCUAACACGUGUCAGCCCUUUUAGCUACAUACUAUGAGUGAAUGUGUCUUGCUAUUCUUUUCCACUUAAACUUUCAUUUGAUUCAAAACCUUAUGAUUUUAAAA
Molecule: unclassified non-coding RNA, 501 nt
Filed under: Hevea brasiliensis (rubber tree)
Lineage: Eukaryota; Viridiplantae; Streptophyta; Magnoliopsida; Malpighiales; Euphorbiaceae
Source: RNAcentral